Molecule: long non-coding RNA, 666 nt
Organism: Trachemys scripta elegans
Lineage: Eukaryota; Metazoa; Chordata; Testudines; Emydidae
Exons: 4
Source: RefSeq, a predicted model, not a curated record
UCCCCUCAGUCUCUCUCUCCUUUCGUUUGUCUCACUAAUUUGUUGCGUCUUGUCUCAAAUUAGAUUGUACCAUGAGUUCUCUGGUGCCAGGGCUGUUUCUUCCUAUGCACUGGCACAGCACCUCGCACCACUGGCCCUGAUCCUGACGGAAGGCUUCGGCCACCAGUGCAGUACUAACAACAUGAGUCUGAACUUGAUAAUGUUGCGCAAUUGGGAUCUGAGAUAUACAAACACAUUUCACUGCAGACAACAUAAGACUGGAAAGGAAGCUAAUCCAUUGCUCCACACUUUGCACAGAAACCGACAUAACAGUGAGCUUGAGCCAGUCUCCAGCUCCACAAACACAGGCUGGCCUGAAGCAGACGCAAGAGAGAGACAGAGACAAGGAGAGAAGUGUCCAGGGUACCCACCGUCUGCCAAGCACAUCUGAUCCUUCAAGGUGACUGGAAAUUCCUUGCUUUUUGCAUUCACCAAUCACAAAAGGAACCCACUGCGGAUCGGCAUUGCCCUUGUGCUCCAGAGAGUAGCUGUGACCGUGUCUUUACAACUCCAGGGGCUCUAUUUGACCCUCAGCAGACUGGAAGUCUCGUUGCUGGAAGCAAAGAUGGUUGGAGCGUGGGGCACGUUGCCCUGUGGUUACAGGACAGGACUAGGAGUCUACUUCUG